AACGAACGCUGGCGGCGUGGAUAAGACAUGCAAGUCGAGCGCUGAUUACAGGGUAGCAAUAUUCUGUAGUCGGAGCGGCGCAAGGGUGCGUAACACGUGGGUAAUCUGCCGUGAAGUUUG
Molecule: ribosomal RNA, 120 nt
Filed under: uncultured bacterium
Lineage: Bacteria
Description: partial 16S ribosomal RNA
Rfam family: Bacterial small subunit ribosomal RNA
Source: RNAcentral